CUCAAUGAGUCUGAGUAAACUGGGAGUUGGCGAUGGACAGGGAAGCCUGGUGUGCUGCCGUCCAUGAGGGUCACAAAGAGUCGGACACGACUGAGCAACUGAACUGAACCAGAGCCUGUCAGUUAUCUUGCAAGUAGACUGGAGUGGUGGAAGGAAGAAAAGAAAGUUAAUGGCUUUGGGUACUUAGCCUUGGCUUGAAAAAACCUCCAGCAAGCCUCUCCUAUCUAAAAACAUGUCCAAACAGUGAACAGAGCCCUUACGGAGCUGGAAAAUUCAAAUGCAAGGAAGAAAUGAUGAGGAAAAUUUGCUUGUUGCUUAUUAUAUGUAUUACUUAAUUGUCAUAUAAAAAUGUGCUAUAUAUUUGUAAUUACAUUAAAACCAAGCCACCAAAAACAA
Long non-coding RNA from Bubalus bubalis (water buffalo), 396 nucleotides. RefSeq lists it as uncharacterized. NCBI's taxonomy places the organism in Eukaryota, Metazoa, Chordata, Mammalia, Artiodactyla, Bovidae. The transcript is spliced from 2 exons. The record is from RefSeq and is a predicted model, not a curated record.